This 2442-nucleotide ribosomal RNA is filed under the name Triticum aestivum (bread wheat). Its description in RNAcentral is "partial small subunit ribosomal RNA". The record is from RNAcentral. Lineage: Eukaryota; Viridiplantae; Streptophyta; Magnoliopsida; Poales; Poaceae.
AUGUCCGGCGUCUGCCUCCGCCGCCGCCUCUCCUCCACCUCCACCUCCAACACGCCACCCUCACCUUCCUGGUCACCCCAGGCCGCCUUUGCCGCGGCCACGGAGCGCGCCCGCGCCGGAACGCUCAGCCCUCAAGACGCACACCACCUGUUCGACGAAUUGUUUCGGCAGGCCACUCCGGUUCCCGAGCGCUCCCUUGAAGGAUUCCUUGCCGCCCUCGGCCGUGCUGCAUCCUCUGAAGCCUGCAGAGACGGCCCCUCCCUUGCCCUCACUCUCUUCAACCGUCUCUGCCGAGAAGAAGCCGGCCGGCGGGUGGCGCCGCCCACAAUCUACACCUACGGCAUCCUGAUGAACUGCUGCUGCCGCGUGCGUCGUCCAGACCUAGGGCUCGCCUUCUUCGGCCGCCUCCUAAGGACCGGCCUCAAAACAAAUGAGGUCGUCGCCAGCACCCUCCUCAAGUGCCUCUGCUGUGCAAAACGGGCAGAUGAAGCUGUGAACGUGCUGCUUCAUAGGAUGUCCGUCCUCGGCUGUGUGCCUAAUUCCUUCUCAUACAACAUAGUUCUAAAGAGCUUAUGUGAUGACAGCAGGAGCCAGCGAGCGCUCGGCCUGCUCCAGAUGAUGGCAAAAGGAGGUGUCUGCUCCCCCAACGUUCUGUCAUAUAACACAGUCAUCCACGGCUUCUUUAAGGAAGGUGAAAUAGACAAGGCCUGCAAUCUAUUCCAUGAAAUGACGAAGCAAGGGUUUGUGCCUAAUGUGGUGACAUAUAACUCGGUUAUCAAUGCAUUGUGCAAGGCCCGAGCAAUGGACAAUGCAGAGUCGUUCCUUCGGCAGAUGGUUGAUAACGGUGUUCCACCUGAUAAGGUGACAUAUACUAGCAUCAUCCAUGGAUAUUCCACUUUGGGCCGAUGGAAAGAGGCAACUAAAAUGUUCAGAGAAAUGACAAGCAGGGGUCUUAUACCAGAUAUUGUCACUCGGAACUCAUUCAUGGACUCACUUUGCAAGCAUGGAAGAAGCAAAGAAGCUGCAGAAAUUUUCUUUUCCAUGGCUGCAAGGGGCCACAAGCCUGAUAUCGUCUCCUACACUAUUCUUCUCCAUGGGUAUGGCAAUGAAGGAAGCUUUUCUGAUAUGAUGAGUCUCUUUAAUUCAAUGGAAGGCGGCGGUAUUGUGGCCGAUUGCCAAGUUUUCAACAUAUUAAUUGAUGCAUAUGCUAAACGAGGAAUGAUCGACGAAGCUAUGCUCAUAUUUACUGAAAUGCUAGGACAAGGAGUCAAUCCGAGUGUAGUCACCUACUCAACUCUGAUAGCUGCACUUUGCAGAACAGGUAGGCUAGCUGAUGCUAUGGAUAAGUUUAGUCAGAUGGUUGGUACGGGAGUACAACCGGACACAGUUGUUUAUCACUCCCUAAUUCAGGGUUUCUGUACACAUGGCGAUUUGGUCAAAGCGAAGGAAUUGAUUUCUGAAAUGAUGAAUAAAGGUAUUAUUUGUCCAAACAUUGCAUUCUUCAAUUCAAUAGUAGACAGUCUAUGCAAAGAAGGAAGGGUUAUGGAUGCACACCAUAUCUUUGACUUGGUUAAAGACAUAGGUGAGAAACCUGAUGCCAUCAUGUUUAAUACGCUAAUUGACGGAUAUUGCUUAGUUGGUGAGAUGGGCAAAGCAUUCAUGGUACUUGAUGUCAUGACAUCAGCUGGCAUUGAGCCUGAUGCCAUUACGUAUAGUACACUUGUCAGUGGAUAUUGUAAAAGUGGAAGGAUCGAUGAUGGGUUGAUUCUGUUCAGAGAAGAAAUGUUGCAUAAGAAAGUUAAACCAACAAUUGUUACAUAUAACAUCAUAUUGGAGGGGUUAUUUCGUGCUGGGAGAACAGUUGCUGCAAAGAAAAUGCUCCAUGAAAUUAUCGGAAGUGGGACACCUGUGAGCAUGCAUACAUACGACAUAUUUCUUAGAGGACUUUGUAGAAAUAAUUGCGCGGAUGAAGCGAUCGUCCUAUUCCAGAAAUCACGUGCAAUGAAUGUGAAGUUCAAUAUCACAACACUCAAUACCAUGAUUAAUGCAUUCUACAAGGGUGACAGAAGAGAAGAAGCUAAUGAUUUGUUUGCUGCAUUACCAGCCAGCGGGUUGGUGCCUAAUGCUUCCACUUACGGAGUAAUGAUACAAAACCUUCUAAAAGAAGGAGCAGUGGAGGAAGCUGACAAUAUGUUCUCAUCAAUGGAGAAGAGUGGUUGUGCUCCUAGCUCUCGUCUUGUGAAUGAUGUCAUUAGAACUUUAUUGGAAAAGGGGGAGAUAGUCAAGGCCGGAAAAUAUAUGUCUAAAGUUUAUGGGAAGAGCCUAUCACUUGAUGCUUCAACUAGUUCGUUGUUGUUGUCUCUCUUUUCAGGGAAUGGGAAAUAUCGGGAACAAAUACAAUUGCUCCCUGCAAAGUACCAGUUUUUCGGUGGAAUCAGUUGA